AGUCGAGGGGCAGCAUGAUUUGUAGCAAUACAGAUUGAUGGCGACCGGCGCACGGGUGAGUAACGCGUAUGCAACUUACCUAUCAGAGGGGGAUAGCCCGGCGAAAGUCAGAUUAAUACCCCAUAAAACAGGGGUCCCGCAUGGGAAUAUUUGUUAAAGAUUCAUCGCUGAUAGAUAGGCAUGCGUUCCAUUAGGCAGUUGGCGGGGUAACGGCCCACCAAACCGACGAUGGAUAGGGGUUCUGAGAGGAAGGCCCCCCACAUUGGUACUGAGACACGGUCCAAACUCCUACGGGAGGCAGCAGUGAGGAAUAUUGGUCAAUGGCCGAGAGGCUGAACCAGCCAAGUCGCGUGAAGGAAGAAGGAUCUAUGGUUUGUAAACUUCUUUUAUAGGGGAAUAAAGUGGAGGACGUGUCCUUUUUUGUAUGUACCCUAUGAAUAAGCAUCGGCUAACUCCGUGCCAGCAGCCGCGGUAAUACGGAGGAUGCGAGCGUUAUCCGGAUUUAUUGGGUUUAAAGGGUGCGUAGGUGGUGAUUUAAGUCAGCGGUGAAAGUUUGUGGCUCAACCAUAAAAUUGCCGUUGAAACUGGGUUACUUGAGUGUGUUUGAGGUAGGCGGAAUGCGUGGUGUAGCGGUGAAAUGCAUAGAUAUCACGCAGAACUCCGAUUGCGAAGGCAGCUUACUAAACCAUAACUGACACUGAA
This 702-nucleotide ribosomal RNA is filed under the name uncultured bacterium. RNAcentral's name for it is "bacterial SSU rRNA". It matches the Rfam family "Bacterial small subunit ribosomal RNA", at positions 60 to 750 of the family's 1533-position model. The record is from RNAcentral.